This is a non-coding RNA of Microcebus murinus (gray mouse lemur), 2897 nucleotides long. The record is from RefSeq and is a predicted model, not a curated record. Lineage: Eukaryota; Metazoa; Chordata; Mammalia; Primates; Cheirogaleidae.
GCAGCUCCAGGCCUGGGCUGCCUCGGCCUGAGACGAGGGCUCAGGCCAGGUUCCAGCGCCAGGCGUCUCCUCGCGGCAGGGAGAGGGCUGUCCUGGAGGGGCCACACGGUGGGGUGGCCCGGCACGCCCACACACCCAGUGGCCCUCCGUCAGGGCCAGCCUAUGGACUGAGAGGACUGGCACGGCCAGCAAGCUCCUCUGAGCCCACUCUCGCUCCCUGGGCUGUGCACCGCCGGGAACGCACCUUCCCUCGGGCCUGAGGCCACCGCUGUUGGGAUGCCCCGAGCCUCUCUGGUGCCACGUGCAUGUGCCGCCCUAACCCAGGUUCUCUGUCCCGUGUGGGGCGGCUGCCGGCCUUGGCAGGAUGGUUUCUGAUGCUCUGGCCUCCCGCUGUCCUGCCCCCCCCACUCUUCGCUCAUCCUGGACGAGGGUGACAGUGCUAAAGUGAGACGCCUUUGUGGAGGAAAAAGGAAUGCUAAAGGAAGGUCACUCUGAAGGCAGCUGUGAUUCAUGGCUAAAGUGAAGAGUCAAAGAAAUGUAGCACCCUGUGGGACCAAAAAACACUGGAAAUCCAGGGUGGUGAGGCUGAUUUCUCUUUUAUUCCUGGGCAUUCCGUUUCCUUCUUCCCUCUCAUUUCAAUUACUAGUCGCCACAGAAAAUCCAGCUUGGACGUUCUGAGGACGCACAGCAUGGCAGUGCAGGGCCUGACCACACUGCGAGGACCACGCUGCCCUCCUGCUGCGCGCCUGCUUGGGCCCGCCCUUCCCAGGGCCAGAGCACAGCACUUCCUCUGAGCUGCCUGCAGCAUUUCCGCCAUGUUUCCUAGGAGGCAAUUCCCAGCCCACAAGCUGGUGACAGCCGUGGAUCUUACCAUCACAACCAGAGGGGAAUGUGUCUGUCACCCUGUGAGCUUCCCAGGCCUCUGAGUCUCCACUUGUCCGUGAGGGGCUGGGACUUUAGGGCUCCUUCCGCCACUCAGCUUAGUCCUCCCAGAUCUGCUGGUCACAUGGUGGGAAGGUCCUUUCUCUACGGGUUCCCAAAGACACUGACAGGGCUGAAGGAACCACAGUGAAAAUGACCGACUUCAUCUCAACACUUGCUAGCCCCGUGAGACGGGCACCAGCUCCCGCCUCUUGCUGCAGCCUGAGUGCCUCGUGGGCCUGUGGCAAACCUGCCUUUGUGUAGCUGGACAGCUGCUAGAUGAGCCGCCUCCUGGCCACGCACAGCACAUAAGCCCAGGCCCGAGUGUUAGGGAAGUGGGUCUAAAAGAAAUCAAUGUGAAACUGCUUUAUAAAGUAAAAAAAAUAUACAUCUAUAUAAUAUUAUCAUUUGGACAGAAAUUUAACAUCAGACCCGCAGCUCUUGACUCUGAGCGCUAACUACUCAUGCCUCAGACACUGCACUUCAUUGCUGUCCGUACACACUGGAAGGGCCGGGCAGUCCAUUUGGUGGACCUGAAUGUUGAGUCUCAUGUCCUUUCCUCUCCUCUGAGAACACUUUGCAGCUGCACGAGCAGCAGGCCGCAUCAGCAUUGUCGUGUUAGAUGCUGCCGCGGUACGACCUUGUUCUGUGUAAGCUGUAGGACACUCUGGCCCAAAGAAUGCCAGGGACACUUUUCCUAAUCCCUCUUCACAGCAAAGUCCAUCUGUACCAGGGCAAAGAGCAUAAAGCCCGCUGACGUCCCCUCAGAGUUUGAGGGGAAAGGAAUAUUUACCACAGACAGAAGACACCAUGUCUCUUUUCUUGAAGUUGAUGUCAUUUAGGUCCUGGUUUGUUCAGUCUCAUGACGACAGUGUUGUGGGGGCGAGGUUUGGGGGAGGUUAAAAAAUGGCCUCAGGCCUUUGAGUUUGGCCUUUGUGAUUCCCAGUGGGGACAGUGAAGGCCAGGCCCCGCCGCUGCCCGAGAGAGUCCCAGAAAGCACCAAGAGAAUGUGGCGUGUGCGGCACUCGGUGUGAGCCACUGGGGCCAGAGUUCUGCAGCCCUUUGAUGGGGAUGGAAUGUUUCACGACGGUGCCAGAAUCUCCACCACCGCGGUCCCAAACUUGGACAUGGUCCAACAUCUGUGACCCAGAUGAUUUGCUCGUAGGACACCCUGGCAGCUCACAUCCGACGUCCUGCAGUGUCUGGGUGGCCGCCGUCAGCCAGAGAGGCUGCCUGGUUCCAGCCCCAGAGGAACCUCUUACAUGCAUCAUUGAGAGAUUUCAUAUGACUGGCGUUGCUGGAGCUCAGAGGGCACUCUCCAGCCCUCCCAGCCAUCAAAGCAGCCUCCCGUGGUUCCUUUGCGACUAAGACGGUCGCUGAUGGUGCUGCUGCGUGCACCCGGAACUGCAGGUCUUGGGAACCCCACCUGUGCAGCAGGGACUCCCAGCGAUGAGCCGUGACGACACUUCCCAUGGAAACGUUGACAUCUCACAGAUUCUUAGGGUACUCUUUACUGCAUCAAGACACCUAGGAUGGUCUUCCCCCCGCCAACGGCGGCGCACGUCGCCUCCCUCCGCAGGCUCACGCGCUUUCCCUGCACUGCCCGCUGAGCUCGUGAGCCCUCCUCCUUAAGCUCCCUGCUGCUCCCACCAGGUGGCCUUGCGGUCUUCCUGGGCCAUGUGACAGACCAACACUUGGAGAAGAGCGUUGGGCCCUGGGCUCCGGCUUGGAGCUGAGGAAGAACGCCAGUGACAUGGCCCUGCGGGUGGCGCCACUCCUGUGACAACUGCCCUCUUGGGACAGACAGCUUGGGUUGAACGUUUGCCUGGUCCCCUGAACACAAAUGUUAACAUAUUUUUGUUGAGUUAUUGAUUCAACACAGGGAUCCCCUGCCUGUGCCCCACCCCUCUAAAGCCACGAUGAUUACAGACCCACCCAGAGACCGUGGACCCGGCCACCUGCGUCUCGGCUGCAGG